UACAAUAGAAACACUAACAAACCUAUUUACUGCUACUAAGCAAAUUUUUGUUGGUUUUAGCCUCUUUUGGGAGAAAAUGAUUAUAAGCGUUGUCUAAACACUCCUAAUCCAUCUCUAACUCUUAUUAUUAGUCAAAUGCAUUGGAUUGUGACACAUUUUGACCAUAAAAACAUUAAUAAAACUGUUUACUGCUUGUAAGCAAUUUUUUGUUGGUUUUAGCCUCUUCUGAGAGAAAAUGGGUAUAAGUAUUGUUUAAACACUCUUAAUCUAUCUCUAACUCUUAUAAUUAGUCAAAUGCAUUAGAUUGUGACAAAUUUUUACAAUAGAAACACUAACAACCCUAUUUACUGCUUCUAAGCAAAUUUUUGUUGGUUUUAGCCGCUUUUGGGAGAAAAUGGGUAUAAGUGUUGUCUAAACACUCCUAAUCCAUCUCUAACUCUUAUUAUUAUUAAAAUGCAUUGGAUUGUGACACAUUUUGACCAUAAAAACAAUAACAAAGCAAUUUACAGAUUCUAAGCAAUUUUUUGGUUGUUUUAGCCUCUUUUGAGAAAACCUUGAUAUAAGUGUUGUCUAAACACUCCUAAUCUCUCUUUAACUCUUAUAAUUAGUCAAAUGCAUUGGAUUGUGACACAUUUUGACCAUCAAAACACUCAUAGAACUGUUUACUACUUCUAAGCAAUGUUUUGGUUGUUUUAGCCUCUUUUGGGAGAAAAUGGGUAUAAGUGUUGUCUAAACAUUCCAAAUCCAUCUCUAACUCUAAUAAUUAGUCAAAGGUUUUGGAUUGUGACACAUUUUGACCAUAGAAACUCUAACAAAGCUAUUUACUGCCUCUAAGCAAUGUUUUGUUGGUUUUAACCGCUUCUGGGAGAAAAUGGGUAUAAGUGAUGUCUAAACACUCUUAAUCCAUCUUUAACUCUUACAAUUAGUCAAAUGCAUUGGACUGUGACACGUUUUGACCAUCAAAACACUAACAGAACUGUUUACUGCUUCUAAGCAAUUUUUUGUUUGU
Molecule: small RNA, 1009 nt
Filed under: Arabidopsis thaliana (thale cress)
Lineage: Eukaryota; Viridiplantae; Streptophyta; Magnoliopsida; Brassicales; Brassicaceae
Description: ATSL035130
Source: RNAcentral